Molecule: long non-coding RNA, 1401 nt
Organism: Oncorhynchus keta (chum salmon)
Lineage: Eukaryota; Metazoa; Chordata; Actinopteri; Salmoniformes; Salmonidae
Exons: 3
Source: RefSeq, a predicted model, not a curated record
GGGAAGGGAUUCAAACUGUUCAGAAGUAGUGUGUCCGAACCUCAUCCCUAGCUCAUGUCCACAGCCAGGUUCAACUCUAACCUCAUCCCUAGCUCAUGUCCACAGCCAGGUUCAACUCUAACCUCAUUCCUAGCUCAUGUCCACAGCCAGGUUCAACUCUAACCUCAUCCCUAGCUCAUGUCCACAGCCAGGUUCAACUCUAACCUCAUCCCUAGCUCAUGUCCACAGCCAGGUUCAACUCUAACCUCAACCCUAGCUCAUGUCCACAGCCAGGUUCAACUCUAACCUCAACCCUAGCUCAUGUCCACAGCCAGGUUCAACUCUAACCUCAACCCUAGCUCAUGUCCACAGCCAGGUUCAACUCUAACCUCAACCCGAGCUCAUGUCCACAGCCAGGUUCAACUCUAACCUCAUCCCUAGCUCAUGUCCACAGCCAGGUUCAACUCUAACCUCAACCCUAGCUCAUGUCCACAGCCAGGUUCAACUCUAACCUCAACCCUAGCUCAUGUCCACAGCCAGGUUCAACUCUAACCUCAACCCUAGCUCAUGUCCACAGCCAGGUUCAACUCUAACCUCAACCCUACCUCAUGUCCACAGCCAGGUUCAACUCUAACCUCAACCCUAGCUCAUGUCCACAGCCAGGUUCAACUCUAACCUCAACCAUAGCUCAUGUCCACAGCCAGGUUCAACUCUAACCUCAACCAUAGCUUAUGUCCACAGCCAGGUUCAACCCUAACUCUAACCUCAACCCGAGCUCAUGUCCACAGCCAGGUUCAACCCUAACUCUAACCUCAACCCCAGCUCAUGUCCACAGGCAGGUUCAACCCUAACUCUAACCUCAACCCUAGCUCAUGUCCACAGGCAGGUUCAACCCUAGCCCAUGUCCACAGGCAGGUUCAAUCCUAACUCGAACCUAAACCCUAGCCCAUGUCCACAGCCAGGUUCAAGCCUAACUCUAACCUCAACCCUAGCUCAUGUCCACAGCAAGGUUCAACCCUAACUCUAACCUCAACCCUAGCUCAUGUCCACAGCAAGGUUCAACCCUAACUCUAACCUCAACCCUAGCUUCAUGUCCACAUCCCUAGCUUCAUGUCCACAUCCCUAGCGUCAUGUCCACAUCCACUAACCCUAGCCUAAACCUAAACAGUUCAGAGGUAGUCUACUACGCACAUCCAACAUUGACUAUAACACAGUUUGGGGAUUUCUACUCCUUUCAUUUGAAAUGAUUCAAACUGACAUCAGAUAGCCAACAGUGGGAGUGGGACAUUUUCCUGUGGCGCAGUGACGUACAGUAACUACAGGAUGGGAGUGACACACAGCUGCCACAACAGAACACUGAAGGCCUGAAGUCAAAGCAUUUUAAACCAACCUGAUACGACUACAGUAACACACACACAGAAA